Molecule: ribosomal RNA, 497 nt
Filed under: uncultured bacterium
Lineage: Bacteria
Description: partial 16S ribosomal RNA
Rfam family: Bacterial small subunit ribosomal RNA
Source: RNAcentral
GAUGAACGCUGGCGGCGUGCCUAAUACAUGCAAGUCGAGCGAACAGACGAGGAGCUUGCUCCUUUGACGUUAGCGGCGGACGGGUGAGUAACACGUGGAUAACCUACCUAUAAGACUGGUAUAACUUCGGGAAACCGGAGCAAAUCCCGUAUAAUAUAUUGAACCGUAUGGUUGAAUAGAGAAAGACGGUUUUGCUGUCACUUAUAGAUGUAUCCGCGCCGCAUUAGCUAGUUGGUAAGGUAACGGCUUACCAAGGCAACGAUGCGUAGCCGACCUGAGAGGGUGGUCGGCCACCCUGGAACUGAGACACGCUCUAGGCUCCUACGGGAGGCAGCAGUAUGGAAUCGUCGGCAAAGGGCGGAAGCCUGACGGAGCGACGCCGCGUGAGUGAUGAAGGUCUUCGGAUCGUAAAACUCUGUUAUGGGGGAAAAACAAAUGUGUAAGUAACUAUGCACGUCUUGACGGUACCUAGUCAAAAAGCCACGGCUAACUACGUG